UACGUAGGGUGCGAGCGUUAAUCGGAUUUACUGGGCGUAAAGCGUGCGCAGGCGGCCCGUUUAGACAGGUGUGAAAUCCCUGGGCUCAACCUAGGAAUUGCGCUUGUGACUGGCGGGCUCGAGUACGGUAGAGGGGGGUGGAAUUCCUGGUGUAGCAGUGAAAUGCGUAGAGAUCAGGAGGAACACCGAUGGCGAAGGCAGCCCCCUGGGCCUGUACUGACGCUCAUGCACGAAAGCGUGGGGAGCAAACAGG
RNAcentral lists this ribosomal RNA (253 nucleotides) under uncultured microorganism. RNAcentral describes it as "partial 16S ribosomal RNA". It matches the Rfam family "Bacterial small subunit ribosomal RNA", at positions 524 to 776 of the family's 1533-position model. The record is from RNAcentral.